RNAcentral lists this ribosomal RNA (427 nucleotides) under uncultured prokaryote. RNAcentral describes it as "bacterial SSU rRNA". It matches the Rfam family "Bacterial small subunit ribosomal RNA", at positions 355 to 774 of the family's 1533-position model. The record is from RNAcentral.
UCGAGGAUCAUUCGCAAUGGGGGAAACCCUGACGAUGCGACGCUGCGUGGAGGAUGAAGGCCUUCGGGUUGUAAACUCCUGUCAUGAGGGAAGAGGAGAGUGUCACUAACAUUGACGCGAUUUGACGGUACCUCAAGAGGAAGCCACGGCUAACUCUGUGCCAGCAGCCGCGGUAAUACAGAGGUGGCGAGCGUUGUUCGGAUUUACUGGGCGUAAAGGGCGCGUAGGCGGCGAUGUGUGUCGGGUGUGAAAUCCCAGGGCUCAACCCUGGAAGUGCGCCCGAAACUGCAUCGCUUGAGUGCGGGAGGGGAGAUCGGAAUGCAGGGUGUAGCGGUGAAAUGCGUUGAUAUCCUGCAGAACACCGGUGGCGAAGGCGGAUCUCUGGAACGCAACUGACGCUGAGGCGCGAAAGUCGGGGGAGCAAACA